This 253-nucleotide ribosomal RNA is filed under the name uncultured bacterium. Its description in RNAcentral is "partial 16S ribosomal RNA". It matches the Rfam family "Bacterial small subunit ribosomal RNA", at positions 524 to 776 of the family's 1533-position model. The record is from RNAcentral.
UACGAAGGGGGCUAGCGUUGCUCGGAAUCACUGGGCGUAAAGGGUGCGUAGGCGGGUCUUUAAGUCAGAGGUGAAAUCCUGGAGCUCAACUCCAGAACUGCCUUUGAUACUGAGGAUCUUGAGUACGGGAGAGGUGAGUGGAACUGCGAGUGUAGAGGUGAAAUUCGUAGAUGUUCGCAAGAACACCAGUGGCGAAGGCGGCUCACUGGCCCGUUACUGACGCUGAGGCACGAAAGCGUGGGGAGCGAACAGG